RNAcentral lists this non-coding RNA (144 nucleotides) under Elusimicrobiota bacterium. Its description in RNAcentral is "Elusimicrobia bacterium c-di-GMP sequence". It matches the Rfam family "c-di-GMP-I riboswitch aptamer". Rfam says of the family: GEMM was predicted in a large-scale screen for bacterial structured RNA regulatory elements. Genes associated with GEMM are involved in a diverse array of functions, including chemotaxis regulation, signal transduction, secretion and chitin. Lineage: Bacteria; Pseudomonadati; Elusimicrobiota. The record is from RNAcentral.
GAGUGACAAAGGCAAACCCGUUCAUGUCUGUAAAGUGUGGCGGGGACGCAAAGCUACGGAACCUUUAAGGUUUGUCGUGCUACCACUACUAAUAUAGAUACUAUUUGUUUCUUAUAGUAUCUUAAGGUUGGCCGAGUUGCCAAG